Long non-coding RNA from Gossypium raimondii (Peruvian cotton), 1961 nucleotides. RefSeq lists it as uncharacterized. The transcript has 2 exons. NCBI's taxonomy places the organism in Eukaryota, Viridiplantae, Streptophyta, Magnoliopsida, Malvales, Malvaceae. The record is from RefSeq and is a predicted model, not a curated record.
AAAAUUAGAUGAAAUUUUUAAGUUUCUCAAUUUUUUUAACAUGUUAUCAGAGCGAUUUGUAAAUCAUUUUGGGUUACAAAAUGGGUUUUCUUUGGGGAAAUUUUUAAGUUUCCUUCAGAUGUUCUGAUCAGAUUUCCCCAAUCGUGUUCGUUUUUUUCAUUGAGUUCGAUUAGUGUUUUAGGCGUAAAGCAUAGAAGGCAUCGUUGAUUUCAAUCACCCAUUGUUUCUGCACCCCUCGAAUAUGCCAGGAGAGCAUAUGGUCUCUUAUCAACUUGUGGGUUUGGAAAAUUAUAGUAUAUGGAGUAGAUCGAUGCGGAUUGCCCUUAUUGGAAAAAACAAUCUAGGAUUCAUUGAUGGAGACUGUCGCAAAGACGAUUAUGAGUUGGCGUUGCAUCCACAAUGGGAGAGAUGCAAUGCAAUCAUGUUAUCUUGGAUACUCAACACCGUGAAUUAAGAACUUUUGGCUGGGAUUGUGUUUGCUUCUAGUCUGGCAUUGGUGUGGCAAGAUUUGAAGGAAUGCUUUGACGAAGUUAAUGGGUCGAGGAUCUUUUUCCUUCAUCGACCAAUUGCAACUCUUAACCAGGGUGAGUCUACUGUUUCUAUUUACUUCACAUGUCUCAAACUUUUGUAGGACGAGUAUAGUGCUUUGGUUCCAUUUGCAUCAUUCAAUUAUGAGGUUUCUCAAUUGAAUCAUGCGCAUCUGGUUCAGCAAAAGUUAUUUCAAUUUCUCAUGAGACUCAACGAGAUGUAUUUAGCCAUCAGGAGUCAGAUUUUGCUUAUGCAACCACUUCUUUUGGUAAAUCACUCAUAUUCGAUGAUAGUACAAGAGGAAUCACAGCGUGUGCACUUGUUUGGAGUUCCUAUUAUGGAGAUUGUUGCAAUGUUUUCAAAUGCCUCUAGGAGUUCAGAUCACCACCGAUACAAUGAGGUUUGUGACUACUGUAAAAUUAAGGGCCAUCAUCAUUAUAAUUGAUAUCGACUAAUUGGUUUCCCCUCAGAUUUUAAGUUCACAAAGAAGAAAAUUCCACAGGCAGCUAUGGCCAUCAAUUUAGAGGUACAGUUUCUGGAUGUUUACUUGCUACUAAUGGAUCUCUUCGUUGGAUUUUGGAUACAAGGGCAACAGGUCAUAUCUUAUCUGACUUUGAGAGUUUGUUGUUUCCUGUUUCAUGUGCUACACCUCGUUAUGUUCAUCUACCAAAUGGCAAAACAUAUACUAUUACCCAUAUAGGUUCUUAUAGGUUGACUCCUAAUCACCUCAUUACCAAUGUCUUACUUGUUCCGAAUUUUUCUCACAAUUUGCUUUCAGUGUCUAAACUUUCCAAAGAACUUAAUUGUCUCAUCAUGUUCUAUCCUGACUUUUGUUUCUUGAAAGAUCUCUCGAAUGACAUGAUCAAGGGGAUUGGUAGAGAGUCUAGAGGGUUGUAUUUUUUUGAGUCUGCUAAAAGAGCUUCUGGUUUGUUAUCUUCGGUUUAAUGUAGUGAUUUUCCUUUUUCCAAUAUUGUUUCUCAUGAUGAUUCAAUGUCUUUUGAUCAGCAAUCUACUGUUUUGCACAAUAAUACUCAUGUAUGGCAUACUUGUUUAGGGCAUGCUUUUGUUACUACAAUGCAAAAGUUACAUGUUUUUAAUUCUUACAAACUUGAUAUUGAUACUGUGCAUAAUUGUAGUAUAUAUCCUUUAGCCAAACAGAAUAUAUUACCUUUUCCUCUUAGUCAUUCAAGCUCUAACAUACAUUUUGAACUCAUUCAUGUUGAUCUUUAGGGUCCCUAUCAUGUUUCAACACAAAGUGGACAUAGGCUCUUUCUCACUAUUGUAGAUGACUGUACACGCAUGACUUGGAUUUAUCUAUUGAGGGUUAAGAGUGACACAAUUUUGUUUCUUAGAAAUUUCUUCUCCUUUGUUAAAACCCAAUUUUCUCUCUCAGUUAAGAAUAUCCGUAGUGAUAAUGUGAUAGAAUUUUUCAA